Molecule: transfer RNA, 64 nt
Filed under: Hemigrapsus sinensis
Lineage: Eukaryota; Metazoa; Arthropoda; Malacostraca; Decapoda; Varunidae
Description: tRNA-Pro
Rfam family: tRNA
About the family: Transfer RNA (tRNA) molecules are approximately 80 nucleotides in length. Their secondary structure includes four short double-helical elements and three loops (D, anti-codon, and T loops).
Source: RNAcentral
CAGAAAAUAGUUUAAAAAAUAUUAACUUUGGGAGUUAAAGAUAAGAGGUUUCUCUUUUUUCUGA